GACGAACGCUGGCGGCGUGCUUAACACAUGCAAGUCGAACGGAAAGGCCCUGCUUGCAGGGUACUCGAGUGGCGAACGGGUGAGUAACACGUGGGUGAUCUGCCCUGCACUUCGGGAUAAGCCUGGUAAAAUGGGGCGAAUCCCGGUUAGGUGCCAGUUUGAAUGGGAUGGUUGGAAAGGUUUUUGGGUGUGGGAUGAGCUCGCGGGCUAGCAGCUUGUUGGUGGGGUAAUGGCCUACCAAGGCGGCGACGGGUAGCCGGCCUGAGAGGGUGGACGGCCACAUUGGGACUGAGAUACGGCCCAGACACCUACGGGGGGCAGCAUUGGGGAAUAUUGCACAAUGGGCGCAAGCCUGAUGCAGCGACGGCGCGUGGGGGAUGACGGCCUUCGGGUUGUAAACGCCUUUCGCUAGGGACGAAGCUUUUUGUGACGGUACCUAGAUAAGAAGCACCGGCUAACUACGUG
This 465-nucleotide ribosomal RNA is filed under the name uncultured bacterium. Its description in RNAcentral is "partial 16S ribosomal RNA". It matches the Rfam family "Bacterial small subunit ribosomal RNA", at positions 28 to 507 of the family's 1533-position model. The record is from RNAcentral.